Molecule: long non-coding RNA, 2582 nt
Filed under: Sus scrofa (pig)
Lineage: Eukaryota; Metazoa; Chordata; Mammalia; Artiodactyla; Suidae
Description: lncRNA (ENSSSCG00040054543.1)
Source: RNAcentral
CUUUUUGUUGUUGUUGUUGCUAUUUCUUGGGCCGCUCCCGCGGCAUAUGGAGGUUCCCAGGCUAGGGGUCCAAUCGGAGCUAUAGGCACCGGCCUACGCCAGAGGCACAGCAACGCGGGAUCUGAGCCGCGUCUGCAACCUACACCACAGCUCAGGGCAACGCCGGAUCGUAAACCCACUGAGCAAGGGCAGGGACCGAACCUACAACCUCAUGGUUCCUAGUCGGAUUCGUUAACCACUGCGCCACGACGGGAACUCCUAUUUUUAAUUUUUUGAGGAGCCUUCUCACUGUUUUCCAUAGUGGCUGCACCAUUUUGAUUUUCUACCAACAGUGUGGAAGGGUUCUAAUUUCUCUACAUCCUCAAAAUACUUUCUUUUUUGGUUGUUUUUUGAUAAUAUCUACCACAACAGGUAUGCAGUGAUAUUUCACUGUCAUUUUGGUUUACCUUUCCCUGAUGAUUCAUGAUACUGAACACCUUUUCAUAUACCUGUUGGCCAUUUGUAUGACUUUGGAGAAAUGUUUAUUCAGGCCCUAUGUCCUUCUUAAAAAAUUAGUUUUUUUUUUUUUGGCUGAGUUGUAGGAGUUUAUGAUAUAUUUUGGAGAUUAACUUCUUCUCAAAUAUAUGAGUUGUACACAUUUUCUCCCAUUCUGUAAGUUGUCUUUCCACUCUGUUUAUUCUUCUUUUGCUAUGCAGAAGCUCUUUAGUUUUAGUCCCAUUUGUUUAUUUUUGUUUUUGCUGCCUAUGUUUUUGGUGUCAUAUAAAUGAUCUCAAUGUCAAGAUCAAUGUAAGAAGCUUUCCUAGGUUUUCCUCUAAGAGUUUUAUAGUUUCAGGUCUUAUUCCAUUUUGAGUUUAUUAUUGUGUAUAGUGUGAGGUAAGGGUCCAAUUUUAUUCAUCUGUCUGUAGAUAUCCAAUUUUCCCAGUAAAGUUUGUUGAACUGACUUUCAUUUCACCAUAGGGUAUUCUUGGAACCCAUGGUACAUUUGAUUUUUAAAGUUAGAGAUCUCUUCAACUCCAGGAUGAAUGCUGUCAUUCACAUACUGACAGAAUAUUGGCAAGCAUUGCAAGUCUUUGGCGACUUGCACUAAACAAUUUUGAAACUUUUUCAGAAGUCUGAUUCCCCCUCACUUCUUUUCAUCCACAAACAUUCAGACCCUUCACAUCUGUAUUAUAACAGUGUAAACAUUCAUUUGCAUGCAUAAAUACUAGCACCUGGAGAAUUUUAAGCUUUUCACCUUCACCCUUUUUUUUGUAUAAAAGAAUUAAAGAAAGGAGAGGUUAAAUCAGUGUCUUAAUUUUACCCAAAUAAUUGAUUCUAAUUGGGAAACUGGGCUAAUUGGGAAAAUGUAUACUUUCUUAACUUCUCUCUCAUUUCCACCCUUUUAUUCUCAAAUAAAGUAGGUUUAAGCCCUUACAAAAACACCUUCACAUGCACUGGUGGCUUCUGAGGGAAGAACAAGAUGAAAUUUGGUUCCAUUUAAUACAUUUUUGAAUGGGUACUCUGCUAUAGACCCUGGGCUUUGACUUUGGGCACAAAGAAGGUCUCUAUCCUUAAGGAAUUCAUAGUCUAUUAGUAAAACCAGAACCAUAAACAGCUACUUUAAACACAGCAUAUAGGUCAUUAAUUCAGUCACCUUAAAUUUAUGAGUGACUAUUAUAUGCUCUGGACCUUUAUUCUAGGCCUUGGGAAUACCAUGGUAAAUCUCUCUCUCUCUCUUUCUCUCUCUCUCUCUCUCUAUAUAUAUAUAUAUAUAUAUAUGUAUGUAUAUGUGUAUGUGUAUAUAUAUAUGUGUGUGUGUGUUCACUUUAUAUAUACAUUCAUUCUCUAGCUUGUGGAGAUUCAGAUUAGGAAAAAAACAAUUCCAAGUGAGAAAAUGUUUUGAAAUGACAUAAUAGGUAUUAUGGGUACAGUUGUUAGAUUUGGCAAGUGCAAAUACAAAGCUUCCAAUUAACUUUGAAUUCAGGUAGCAUUUUUAGUGUACAUAUGUCCCAUGCAGUUCUGCAUUUUGUAAGUGGGGUGUCUAACCUGGUUUGAGAGAGUCAGAAGGCUAAAAACACAUUGACUAGGUAAAGGUCAGAUCUAGGUUGAUUAGAUGUUAUUGACUUAGAACUAUAAAACGGUCAGUGUUAGUGAUAUGCCUGGUUGUGAUGGGAGAUGAGAAAUUUUUCAGAAAGGAUUCCAGGUGGCUAGAAUGUUGAGUUUUCCAAGUGUUAAUGCCUACAUCGCACACCUUGGUCCCUUCACACAACAUAUUUACUGUACUUAAGUAUAAUUAUCAUAUUUAUAAAUUAAGGUAUGUAUUUGUUAAUGACACAUUAAAUAUUGAGAUCUGUUAGCAGGCUUAAUAACUAUUAGAAUUUUAAAUCAUGAUGAACAGGAAUGAAAACUAUAUGAUUUAUAUAUGAUAUAUAUUGAAUGAUUUUAUAUAUAUUAUUAUGGUAAUAUAAAAGUUUCAUGAUUUCUAUUGUUGAUAAAUAUAGAGCUACUGCUAACUACUAUUGUUUGCAUACAUGUAUUAUUGAAGAAGAUGCUAAAUAUUAGGAUAAUGAAAAGAGAAGUGUAAUCUUUUCUUUAUCCAAGAU